GACGAACGCUGGCGGCGUGCUUAACACAUGCAAGUCGAACGGAAAGGCCCUGGUUUUGUUUGGUGCUCGAGUGGCGAACGGGUGAGUAACACGUGAGUAACCUGCCCUUGACUUUGGGAUAACUGCAGGAAACUGGUGCUAAUACCGGAUAGGAGCUCCUGCUGCAUUGGGGGGGUGGGAAAGGUUCGGCGGUUGGGUAUGGCCUCGCGGCUUAUCAGCUUGUUGGUGGGGUAGUGGCUUACCAAGGCGUUGACGGGUAGCCGGCCUGAGAGGGUGACCGGCCACAUUGGGACUGAGCUAAGGCACAGCCUCCUACGGGAGGCAGCAGAGGAGAAUAUUGCACUAUGGGCGGGAGCAUGAUCCAGUAAAGCCGCGUGCGGGAUGACGGCAUUCGGGUUGUAAACCGCUUUCGCCUGUGACGAAGCGUGAGUGACGGUAAUGGGUAAAGAAGCAACGGCUAACUACGUG
This 468-nucleotide ribosomal RNA is filed under the name uncultured bacterium. RNAcentral describes it as "partial 16S ribosomal RNA". It matches the Rfam family "Bacterial small subunit ribosomal RNA", at positions 28 to 507 of the family's 1533-position model. The record is from RNAcentral.